UACAGCUGGGCUAAAAUAACUUCAGAGGAGCCCUGGAGAUCAACAAUCUACAGAGACCAAGCAAAUGCCCAAUCAAGAAAAAGCACAUCCCAAUGAAACAGGAGGAGCCGAGGCAUGAGGGAGCCUGACAGGAAGUGAGGAUUCGAGACUUCAAAUACAAACAUUAUGAAAAACAAGCAACAUCUGCAAACAGUUCUGUCCUUUCUUUGCAGACACUUGCAAAGGCGCUUCCUGGACAGUUGGAUGUACCUGAGCCAUCUCUGCAGCGAGAAACAGGAGCAGCUCAACUUCCAGCGGCUCUCCUAUUUGGAUAAUCCUGCGUAAUGAUUUCAGGGCUGGUUCUGGAAAGUUCCACCAGCUCCUCUGCAUGCCAGGCGGGCGCCUGGAGUGCUGGGUGACUGACUUUGGGGUGUGGGGCGGGAGAAGACCCCAGUAUGUAAACAAACAAUGUAUUGCUGCCUUGGCAAAAAUGUAAACAAAAUCCAUGUCCCCUGCCCUGGGGCUGGGCCGGCGGGAUGCCGUUUGACAGAACUUGCUGCACGGAGUCUCCCGGGCUGGCCAACUAGACAUCCUGGAAACUCUAGAGGGAAAAAUCACGCCCGAGUGGCUGCUGUCUGGUAGAAUCUGAAGCAGAAUGAAACAGGCCUCCAACAAUCAAUAUUACUGACAAAUUAAUCUCUGCGAAUAAACUGGAGCUCGC
Long non-coding RNA from Talpa occidentalis (Iberian mole), 700 nucleotides. RefSeq lists it as uncharacterized. The record is from RefSeq and is a predicted model, not a curated record. Lineage: Eukaryota; Metazoa; Chordata; Mammalia; Eulipotyphla; Talpidae. The transcript is spliced from 3 exons.